Molecule: non-coding RNA, 193 nt
Organism: Ceratotherium simum simum (southern white rhinoceros)
Lineage: Eukaryota; Metazoa; Chordata; Mammalia; Perissodactyla; Rhinocerotidae
Source: RefSeq, a predicted model, not a curated record
AAGCCAGUUCUAGAAAAAUGGGAUAAAUGACAGUGAAAUUUGUGAUUUAUUUGAAAGUCGUACAGGUCUUGUCAGGACACAUUCAGCACAGUCUCUUAAACCUCCAUUAACGGUAGAAUCAUAGACUUACUCCAGAAACUAUGAUGGCCACAAGCUGCAUGCAAAAUGCUAACACUGGCAUUGACGACUAUGG